GCUUCAACGUCACCACGGAAAGAAGGGAGAUAACUGUUAUAUAGGAAAAUAUUGAAACAGUAAAUUGCGUCCUAACCAAGUUUUUGCUUCAGUGUGAAACCAUUGGAUUAACAAACCUCGACAUUCACUUACAUAUAUUAUAUCAUGGCCAGUGCAAGUGGUGAGAUAUCCAGUGACAAGUUAAUAGAUUUAAGGGUCGUGGAUCUCCGCAGUGAACUGGAGAAACGAGGUCUGGACAAAACUGGAGUAAAGGCCGUGUUGUUGGAACGUCUGGAAAAGGCUCUGAAAAGUGAAGAAAAUCAUAAAGAUACCAAAGGAAGUGAAGAGAAAUCAGAUAAUUUAGCUACGUUGGUAAACAUUGAGGCUUUCUGUGAAGAGAAAUAUCUGGAAGAAAAUCAAUCUACUGAAGAUAUUAUUAAAAACGAACAUACUACAAUCAACAUGGAUGAGAAAGAAUCAGAGACGUCUAAUGUGGCAUUAACAGAUGUCUUCUUAAACACCACCAAUCCAGAUGGGUAUUCUUUGAUCCCUGACAAAACUUCUGUGGGAGACCUUACAGAGGAUCGACUGCUUUCGAGUGAUACCAAACCAUCAGAUAUGUUGACAGAUAAUACCUUUGAUAAAGACCAGUUUGAAGAACUACCUAUCUCUUUAGAUACGGACAAAGACACUUGUACUGUUCUGCAGGAAGGACCUGAUGAAACAAUAAUGGAUACCACAGUUCUUCAGCUUCUAAACCCAAAGUUAUCAAGAAUAUCAGAAGCAAUGACCAAAGCAAUCGGAAUCUGUGGAUCAGUGGUCUUGCCACAAGUACCCGUGCUACAGACCUUAAAGUGCUUUUUACCAAAUAUGGCAAGGUUGUUGGUGCCAAAGUAGUAACAAAUGCACGAAGCCCUGGUGCUCGAUGUUAUGGUUUUGUAACUAUGUCUUCUUCACAUGAAGCUUCUAAAUGUAUUCAACAUUUGAAUCAGACCGAACUGCAUGGCCAGAUGAUAUCAGUUGAAAGGGCUAGAAAAGAACCUAACACUAACGCACCAGUAUCAAAACCAGGAGAAAAGAAAGUAGAAAAGGCUGAAGUAAAGAAAGAUG
Octopus bimaculoides (California two-spot octopus) is the source of this 1089-nucleotide unclassified non-coding RNA. Lineage: Eukaryota; Metazoa; Mollusca; Cephalopoda; Octopoda; Octopodidae. The record is from RefSeq and is a predicted model, not a curated record.